This 88-nucleotide transfer RNA is filed under the name Micromonospora andamanensis. RNAcentral's name for it is "tRNA-Arg". Lineage: Bacteria; Bacillati; Actinomycetota; Actinomycetes; Micromonosporales; Micromonosporaceae. The record is from RNAcentral.
UUGUCGCCCUGGCCGGGCUGGACCGCCUCGCUUCGGUCGAGGGUGCCCAACUGUCCUGGGGCGAAGCGUUCGACCUGCUGGUGUCGGU